RNAcentral lists this microRNA precursor (226 nucleotides) under Solanum tuberosum (potato). RNAcentral describes it as "MIR8007 microRNA precursor family". It matches the Rfam family "MIR8007 microRNA precursor family". The record is from Rfam by way of RNAcentral. Lineage: Eukaryota; Viridiplantae; Streptophyta; Magnoliopsida; Solanales; Solanaceae.
AUGUGGCACUUUUCGAAUUUCGAGAUUCAAACAAGUCUAUCUUUGAUCGUAAAAAUUUUCAUAGAUCUUUUAAACAUUUUGAAUUAUCAAUUACUGUGACUUAUAGUACUUUUUACGUAGUUUACAAAUAUAUAAAUUUCAUUUCAAACAAAUUGAAGAUUCCAUGCGCAAAUUCCCGGUCAAACUAAAACUGUUUGACUCUUGAAAAGCGAAAAGUGCCACAUAA